RNAcentral lists this ribosomal RNA (468 nucleotides) under uncultured bacterium. RNAcentral's name for it is "partial 16S ribosomal RNA". It matches the Rfam family "Bacterial small subunit ribosomal RNA", at positions 28 to 507 of the family's 1533-position model. The record is from RNAcentral.
GACGAACGCUGGCGGCGUGCUUAACACAUGCAAGUCGAACGGAAAGACCCUGCUUUUGUGGGGUGCUCGAGUGGCGAACGGGUGAGUAACACGUGAGUAACCUGCCCUUGACUUUGGGAUAACUUCAGGAAACUGGGGCUAAUACCGGAUAGGAGCUCCUGCUGCAUGGUGGGGGUUGGAAAGUUUCGGCGGUUGGGGAUGGACUCGCGGCUUAUCAGCUUGUUGGUGGGGUAGUGGCUUACCAAGGCUUUGACGGGUAGCCGGCCUGAGAGGGUGACCGGCCACAUUGGGACUGAGAUACGACCCAGACUCCUACGGGAGGCAGCAGUGGGGAAUAUUGCACAAUGGGCGGAAGCCUGAUGCAGCAACGCCGCAUGCGGGAUGACGGCCUUCGGGUUGUAAACCGCUUUCGCCUGUGACGAAGCGUGAGUGACGGUAAUGGGUAAAGAAGCACCGGCUAACUACGUG